GGUGCAGCAGGCGCGAAACCUUUACACUGCACGCAAGUGCGAUAAGGGGACCCCAAGUGCGAGGGCAUAUAGUCCUCGCUUUUCUCGACUGUAAGGCGGUCGUGGAAUAAGAGCUGGGCAAGACCGGUGCCAGCCGCCGCGGUAAUACCGGCAGCUCAAGUGAUGACCGAUAUUAUUGGGCCUAAAGCGUCCGUAGCCGGCCAUGAAGGUUCAUCGGGAAAUCCGCCAGCUCAACUGGCGGGCGUCCGGUGAAAACCACAUGGCUUGGGACCGGAAGGCUCGAGGGGUACGUCCGGGGUAGGAGUGAAAUCCCGUAAUCCUGGACGGACCACCGAUGGCGAAAGCACCUCGAGAAGACGGAUCCGACGGUGAGGGACGAAAGCUAGGGUCUCGAACCGGAUUAGAUACCCGGGUAGUCCUAGCUGUAAACGAUGCUCGCUAGGUGUGACACAGGCUACGAGCCUGUGUUGUGCCG
This 475-nucleotide ribosomal RNA is filed under the name Haloferax volcanii. Its description in RNAcentral is "bacterial SSU rRNA". It matches the Rfam family "Archaeal small subunit ribosomal RNA", at positions 329 to 803 of the family's 1478-position model. Lineage: Archaea; Methanobacteriati; Methanobacteriota; Halobacteria; Halobacteriales; Haloferacaceae. The record is from RNAcentral.